ACCCACGCGUUCCCAUCUCGAACACGACCGUUAAGCCCUCCAGCGUCGAUGGUACUUGAACCGCAGGGUUCUGGGAGAGUAGAACGUUGCCA
RNAcentral lists this ribosomal RNA (92 nucleotides) under Paenibacillus allorhizoplanae. Lineage: Bacteria; Bacillati; Bacillota; Bacilli; Caryophanales; Paenibacillaceae. The record is from RNAcentral.